This 294-nucleotide unclassified non-coding RNA is filed under the name Hevea brasiliensis (rubber tree). The record is from RNAcentral. Lineage: Eukaryota; Viridiplantae; Streptophyta; Magnoliopsida; Malpighiales; Euphorbiaceae.
GGUUGCUGCAAUAACAUAUGAAGUUAAAAUUCCAAUUAUACUGGUUACUAAUCUAAAAUUUGUUUGAAUAGCAUGAACUAAUAAAAGAGCAAUAAAGAUUACCAAAAAAAUAAAACCUGUAGAAACCAAUUGGCCAUUUACACAGAUCUUACAAUUUCAUUUAAUCACAUUUCAUUCCUUACAAAUUAAUCAUGAAUUGAUCAGCUAUAUUUCUUUAAUGAAAUUCAGGUAUUUUCACUAUCCAAAAGGUUGCGUUACCUAAGUUCACAUCACAUGGAUAUAGAUAAUGGUUUC